CCUACGGGUGGCAGCAGUGGGGAAUAUUGGACAAUGGGCGAAAGCCUGAUCCAGCCAUGCCGCGUGUGUGAAGAAGGCCUUCGGGUUGUAAAGCACUUUCAGUGGGGAAGAAAGCCUUGGGGCUAAUACCCUCGAGGAAGGACAUCACCCACAGAAGAAGCACCGGCUAACUCCGUGCCAGCAGCCGCGGUAAUACGGAGGGUGCGAGCGUUAAUCGGAAUUACUGGGCGUAAAGCGCGCGUAGGCGGUCUGAUAAGCCGGUUGUGAAAGCCCCGGGCUCAACCUGGGAACGGCAUCCGGAGCUGUCAGGCUAGAGUGCAGGAGAGGAAGGUAGAAUUCCCGGUGUAGCGGUGAAAUGCGUAGAGAUCGGGAGGAAUACCAGUGGCGAAGGCGGCCUUCUGGACUGACACUGACGCUGAGGUGCGAAAGCGUGGGUAGCAAACAGGAUUAGAUACCCCGGUAGUC
RNAcentral lists this ribosomal RNA (465 nucleotides) under Vreelandella stevensii. RNAcentral's name for it is "partial 16S ribosomal RNA". It matches the Rfam family "Bacterial small subunit ribosomal RNA", at positions 338 to 795 of the family's 1533-position model. The record is from RNAcentral. Lineage: Bacteria; Pseudomonadati; Pseudomonadota; Gammaproteobacteria; Oceanospirillales; Halomonadaceae.